AAGCGUGCGCAGGCGGUUUUGUAAGACUGUCGUGAAAUCCCCGGGCUCAACCUGGGAAUGGCGAUGGUGACUGCAAGGCUAGAGUUUGGCAGAGGGGGGUAGAAUUCCACGUGUAGCAGUGAAAUGCGUAGAUAUGUGGAGGAACCACCGAUGGCGAAGGCAGCCCCCUGGGUCAAAACUGACGCUCAUGCACGAAAGCGUGGGGAGCAAACAGGAUUAGAUACCCCGGU
This 230-nucleotide ribosomal RNA is filed under the name uncultured bacterium. Its description in RNAcentral is "partial 16S ribosomal RNA". It matches the Rfam family "Bacterial small subunit ribosomal RNA", at positions 563 to 791 of the family's 1533-position model. The record is from RNAcentral.